CUCCAUUGGAGCUCCCUGUGGUGGCUGGACCCGAGACAGGAUCGGAACUCAAAGGGACGGACUUCUCGGCAGGACCUUGGGAGGAAAUCCUUCCCUCCCACUCUGAUGCACAGCAGUGGGAGUCGUUGAUAUGAACCUGUCCUGAAAACAGCUGGUUUGAGGAGGCCUGGGCAGACUGCCAGGGCAACGGGCCCAAAGCAACACUGACAUCCAACAGACAGGAUUUGUCUUCCAGAUAACAAACCCAGGCAAUGUAACAGGCAGCUGCUCGCAGUCCCUGGUGCCACGGAAGCGUUUGGAUGACAGCGCCGCCUCCAUGCCCUCGAUCUCACAGUGGCGGAUCUCCCUGAUGGCACUGUGGAUCAUUCGCCGCUCGUCCAGAAAACGACAUCAGUCCAAAUGUGUGACCAUGAAGAAGUGUGAUAAAGGAACCUAUAAACCAGCUAAAAAACAUACUGUAAUGCCAGCCCACGACCUCAUUAUUACAAGACGCAACUCACAUCCCUACAAGGAGAGCACAAGGGUAAAAAGCAACUAUUUUAAGGGAAUUUGCUUGGAAACUGUGGACUUAGGGGGCUACAAAUCCCACAAAUACAUAUUACAUGGCUUAAAGAGAGGAAGCAAAUGUGAACCAAUGUAAAUGUACAAGGCUAUAGAUAAGAAAUCAGCUGUGGUAUACUGUAGAUAAUGUGUUAAACAUGGGGUGUAAAAUGUUCAUUUGCAUGUAUCAUAAACAGUACUUGAAAUACUGCAACUGAACACGACAAAUCCAACAUAUACAAUACCUUAUAUGUAGAAUAAAAACGAAUUGCCCUGUCACCAAUAUACUGUAUUAUACGGUACCUUGCUUCCAAGCCUGGAAAACUGGUUUCAAAUUGUAACACUGUUUGCCACAUUGCACUCUUUUUAAGGUGGUGUGUCAACACUUUAUAAUACAUAUUAUAUUGUCAUUUUUGUGAUUGACAAGCCCAGAUAAUUAUCAUAUUCUGAAAUUUCAACCCUGGGAAAUUUGUCUCUGCCUAUAUGGUAAAGAACAGUACAGUUUUUUUAAAUCACUAACACAUCACUAACACAUCAUUGAACUUCCUCCCUACC
Molecule: long non-coding RNA, 1095 nt
Organism: Polyodon spathula (Mississippi paddlefish)
Lineage: Eukaryota; Metazoa; Chordata; Actinopteri; Acipenseriformes; Polyodontidae
Exons: 4
Source: RefSeq, a predicted model, not a curated record